AAUAGAUACCCAGGUAGUCCACGCCGUAAACGAUGAGUGCUAAGUGUUAGAGGGUUUCCGCCCUUUAGUGCUGCAGCUAACGCAUUAAGCACUCCGCCUGGGGAGUACGGUCGCAAGACUGAAACUCAAAGGAAUUGACGGGGGCCCGCACAAGCGGUGGAGCAUGUGGUUUAAUUCGAAGCAACGCGAAGAACCUUACCAGGUCUUGACAUCCCACUGACCGGUUAUAGAGAUAUACCUUUCCCUUCGGGGUACAGUGGUGACAGGUGGUGCAUGGUUGUCGUCAGCUCGUGUCGUGAGAUGUUGGGUUAAGUCCCGCAACGAGCGCAACCCUUGAUCUUAGUUGCCAGCAUUUAGUUGGGCACUCUAAGGUGACUGCCGGUGACAAACCGGAGGAAGGUGGGGAUGACGUCAAAUCAUCAUGCCCCUUAUGACCUGGGCUACACACGUGCUACAAUGGAUGGUACAAAGGGCUGCAAGACUGCGAAGUCAAGCCAAUCCCAUAAAACCGAUUCUCAGUUCGGAUUGCAGG
This 532-nucleotide ribosomal RNA is filed under the name uncultured bacterium. Its description in RNAcentral is "bacterial SSU rRNA". It matches the Rfam family "Bacterial small subunit ribosomal RNA", at positions 777 to 1304 of the family's 1533-position model. The record is from RNAcentral.